Molecule: ribosomal RNA, 316 nt
Filed under: Clostridium sp.
Lineage: Bacteria; Bacillati; Bacillota; Clostridia; Eubacteriales; Clostridiaceae
Description: partial 23S ribosomal RNA
Rfam family: Bacterial large subunit ribosomal RNA
Source: RNAcentral
UUCAGAACGUCGUGAGACAGUUCGGUCCCUAUCCGUCGCGGGCGUAGGAAAUUUGAGAGGAGCUGUCCUUAGUACGAGAGGACCGGGAUGGACUGACCUCUGGUGCACCAGUUGUUCCGCCAGGAGCACAGCUGGGUAGCUAAGUCGGGAAGGGAUAAACGCUGAAAGCAUCUAAGCGUGAAGCCCACCUCAAGAUGAGAUUUCCCAUAGCAUAAGCUAGUAAGACCCCUUGAAGAACACGAGGUUGAUAGGUCAGAGGUGUAAGUGCAGUAAUGUAUGUAGCUGACUGAUACUAAUAGGUCGAGGGCUUGACCAA